AUGCGUCGGCAACAAAUCUCCAAAAACCAAUAGAGUAAAUCACCCAAGCAAGACACUAGCAACGUGGAAAAGGACUUUAUUUAUGUAGAUAAAAGUAGUAAUUGAGAGAACAAGCAAUAAAGAACAAAAAGUAUUCUUUUAUAACAAACAAAUUGCAAACAAUUUUAAUUUGAAAAGCAAAAGAUAUACAAUUUCAAGAUAGACAUCCCACCAACAAAACUAGAAAACAAAACCCGAAAAUUCAUAAUAUAAUUAGAUUAUCAUAAAACAAAUCAACCUGCUCAAACGAAUCUUAAUAUCUUUAAUUAACUUUUCUACAAUCGUUGCGAAUUUCACCUCUAUUCCCUGUUAAUGGCUUUAUAUCACCCAUUUUAAUCAUAGACUCUGCAAAAUCCUCCCAGAACUCUUCGGCGUCCCCACUGUAUUUCAAAACAAGUUCAGCAGUUUCACCACCAUCCAAGAGUGCUUGAUCAGAGCUCAAAAGUCCUUUUUUACUCGCCAAACUGGAAAAGUAUUUCACAUCAAACGAGUUUGGUGUCGGGUCAAGUGGUGCGAGCCUUGAGUCGCCCCCAACUUGUGGACAAAUGGUCUGAAGGUGGCUCGCGAAGGCUGGAUCAAUGUUGGUCUCGUUGUAAAUACGAUCCCUAAAGUUUCGACACUGAGCAAACCCUAAGGUGUGUGCUCCUGAAAGCACAACUAAGUCCUCCUCGUCGAGCCCUUGGUCCUCAAAGUUUUUUAUAAGGGCAGGUAAGUUCAUGGACGGUGUCGGGAUGUUAGCGUUAGCUGCGCUUUGGCUAGCGGUGGUUGAGUCUCUUCUUCCGAGCCUGACUUUCCAUGAUGGGCCACCAAGCUGCAAACCAUAAAAAGAUUUAGAUUUACACAAAUAAUAUGUUUGUCACGCUAAAAUUUUAUUUCUUUUAUUUGUUUUCAUCAUUACAAAAAUUUGUUAAAGAGGGACACAUUCAUGAUUUUUUUUCAACUCCAUGAAAGUGAGAAUUU
This 999-nucleotide long non-coding RNA is filed under the name Helianthus annuus (common sunflower). RNAcentral's name for it is "hypothetical non coding rna". The record is from RNAcentral. Lineage: Eukaryota; Viridiplantae; Streptophyta; Magnoliopsida; Asterales; Asteraceae.